Molecule: transfer RNA, 61 nt
Filed under: Flavobacterium sp. 2755
Lineage: Bacteria; Pseudomonadati; Bacteroidota; Flavobacteriia; Flavobacteriales; Flavobacteriaceae
Description: tRNA-Phe
Rfam family: tRNA
About the family: Transfer RNA (tRNA) molecules are approximately 80 nucleotides in length. Their secondary structure includes four short double-helical elements and three loops (D, anti-codon, and T loops).
Source: RNAcentral
AGCGUAGUCAAAUUAUCGCGUCCGAUUGAAAAUUGGGAAAGUCGCAGGUUCGAAUCCUGCC